CAGUCGCCACGGUAAUACGUAGGGUGCAAGCGUUAAUCGGAAUUACUGGGCGUAAAGCGUGCGCAGGCGGUUUUGUAAGACAGAGGUGAAAUCCCCGGGCUCAACCUGGGAACUGCCUUUGUGACUGCAAGGCUGAAGUGCGGCAGAGGGGGAUGGAAUUCCGCGUGUAGCAGUGAAAUGCGUAGAUAUGCGGAGGAACACCGAUGGCGAAGGCAAUCCCCUGGGCCUGCACUGACGCUCAUGCACGAAAGCGUGGGGAGCAAACAGGAUUAGAUACCCGCGUAGUCCCUGUCUCUUAUAC
Molecule: ribosomal RNA, 301 nt
Filed under: uncultured bacterium
Lineage: Bacteria
Description: partial 16S ribosomal RNA
Rfam family: Bacterial small subunit ribosomal RNA
Source: RNAcentral